RNAcentral lists this ribosomal RNA (500 nucleotides) under uncultured bacterium. RNAcentral's name for it is "partial 16S ribosomal RNA". It matches the Rfam family "Bacterial small subunit ribosomal RNA", at positions 28 to 507 of the family's 1533-position model. The record is from RNAcentral.
GAUGAACGCUGGCGGCGUGCUUAACACGUGCAAGUCGAACGGGUCGGCCCUGUUUUUUGCGGGGUGGGUCAGUGGCGAAAGGGUGAGUAAAACGUGAGUAACCUGCCCCUCACUUCUGGAUAAACGCUUGAAAGGGUGGCUAAUACGGGGUGUAUUGGCUGUGCCGCAUGGUGCGGAUGGGAAAGAUUCACUUUUGGGGUGUUUUGGUGGGGGAUGGGCUCGCGGCCUAUCAGCUUGAUGGAGGGGUGAUGGCCUGCAAAGGCGUUGACGGGUAGCCGGCCUGGGGUGGUGGGCGGUCCCACAGGGGCUGAGAUGCGGCCCAGCCUCCUGCGGGCGGCAGCAGUGGAGGGUAUUGCACAGUGGGCGGAAGCCUGAUGCAGCGCCGUCGCGUGAGUGAUGGAGGCCUUCGGGUUGUGAACCUCUUUCGCCGGUGAAGAAGGUCCUGCUCUUUGUGGUGGGGUUGACGGUAGCCUGGUUAUGAAGCGCCGGCUAACUACGUG